AGCAGCCGCGGUAAUUCCAGCUCCAAUAGCGUAUAUUAAAGUUGUUGCAGUUAAAAAGCUCGUAGUUGAAUUUCGGGAUCAAUUAAUUGGUCGUGCCUCUGGUACGUACUGAUUUUAUUGGUUUCUCCCUUCUGACGAACCAUGAUGUCAUUAAUUUGGUGUCGUGGAGAAUCAGGACUGUUACUUUGAAAAAAUUAGAGUGUUUAAAGCAAGCUAACGCUUGAAUACAUUAGCAUGGAAUAAUGAAAUAGGACGUUUGAUCCUAUUUUGUUGGUUUCUAGGAUCGACGUAAUGAUUAAUAGGGAUAGUUGGGGGCAUUAGUAUUCAAUUGUCAGAGGUGAAAUUCUUGGAUUUAUUGAAGACUAACUACUGCGAAAGCAUUUGCCAAGGAUGUUUUCAUUAAUCAAGAACGAAAGUUAGGGGAUCGAAGACGAUCAGAUACCGUCGUAGUCUUAACCAUAAACUAUGCCGACUAGGGAUCGGAUGAUGUUAAUUUUUUAAUGACUCAUUCGGCGCCUUA
RNAcentral lists this small RNA (520 nucleotides) under uncultured Glomus. RNAcentral describes it as "SSU rRNA". It matches the Rfam family "Eukaryotic small subunit ribosomal RNA", at positions 569 to 1090 of the family's 1831-position model. The record is from RNAcentral. Lineage: Eukaryota; Fungi; Glomeromycota; Glomeromycetes; Glomerales; Glomeraceae.